Molecule: ribosomal RNA, 322 nt
Filed under: uncultured eukaryote
Lineage: Eukaryota
Description: partial 18S ribosomal RNA
Rfam family: Eukaryotic small subunit ribosomal RNA
Source: RNAcentral
CCCUUAGAUGCUCUGGGCCGCACGCGCGCUACACUGAUGAACGCAACGAGACGACCUGUACCGAAAGGCAUGGGUAAACUUGUGAAAGUUCAUCGUGAUGGGGAUAGAUUAUUGCAAUUAUUAAUCUUCAACGAGGAAUUCCUAGUAAGCGCGAGUCAUCAGCUCGCGUUGAUUACGUCCCUGCCCUUUGUACACACCGCCCGUCGCUCCUACCGAUUGAAUGCUCAGGUGAGCCAUUCGGACUUUCAUCAUGCUGGUUUCCAGUUUUGAUGAAGGAAAGUCUUGCGAACCUUAUCAUUUAGAGGAAGGAGAAGUCGUAACA